GCAGAAGAUCCCUCCAAGUUUGAUCCCCAGCACCAAAAGGUUGAGUCAAAAUUCUGGGGGCUUAUGCAUUAUUGCUUUGGGGGAACCCAUUGCCCUCAAGUCACUGAGAAGGCCACCAUUCAAAAUAGUUCUGAAUCAGGAGUUCAUUUCAAGUGUGAGUGUAUGAUUGAUAUAUAUACACACACACACAAUAAAUAAAAUAUCACUUGUGCCAGGCACAGUGGUGCACGCCUGUAAUCCCAGUACUGGGAAGCUGAGGAAGGGGGAUCCUGAGUAAUUUAUAGAGGCUGCAAGCAACUUAUGGAGAUCCUAACCACAUCCCAGCCCUAUUUUGUAUUUUAUUUAGAGACAGGGUCUCACUGAGUUGUUUAAGCACCUCGUUUUUUAAUGACUCUCCAUCCUCCUGCCUCAGCCUCCCCAUCUGCUGGGAUUAUGGGCAUGGGCCACUGUACCUAGCUAGACCAGAUUUCUAAAUAAAAAAGAAAGAAAGAGCUAGAAUGUGGCUCUGUGGUUAAGGUGCCCCAGAGUUUAAUCCCUACUAUUAAGAAAAAAAAAAAGUUUCCAUUGUUCCUGCAUAGUUGGCUUUUUUUUUUUUUUUUUUAAUUGGGGAUUGAUCCCAGGGGUGCUUUGUGAGUGAGCUACAUUCCCAGCCCUUUUUUAAUUUUAUUUGUUAUGUUGAGACAGGGUCUCAAUAAAUUGCUGAGACUGUCCUCAAACCUGGGAACUUCCUGCCUCACCUUCCCAAGUCACUGGGAUUACAGAUGUACACCAUCACACCUGGCUCUCAUGGCACUUUUUUUUUGGUACUGAGGAUUGAACUCAGAGGUGCUUCACCAAUGAGCUACAUUCUUUUUGUUUUUUAUUUUGGGACAGAGUCUCAUUAAGUCUUUCUUUUUUGGGAGAAGGGGAUGUGAGAGAGUUCUGGGGAUUGAAUUUAGGAACACUCACCACUGAGUUACAUUACCAGCCCUAUUUUGUAUUUUAUUUAGAGACAGGGUCUCACUGAAUUGCUUAGCAUCUCGCUGUUGCUGAGGCUGGCUUUAAACUCGCAAUCCUCCUGGUCUCAGCCUUCAAGCUGCUGCUAUUACAGGGGUGCUCCACCGUGCCUGAUUUUGUUAAAUUUCUUAGAGUUGCAGAGGCUGGCCUUGCUAUCUGGAUCCUCAGCCAUUCCAUUUGCUGCCAUUACAGGCAUGCACUACCAUCCCAGGCCCUCAUACCACUUCUGGACCAUGCUCAGGACACAAAAAUAACUUGGGACUUUUUGUGAUGUGGUGUAAUUUACUGGGCUCAUGGUGAUUAUUGAUUCAUUUAUUUUCACCUGUCAUUCAGAAUAGGAAUGGUUUUAUACAGAACCCAGGAACAUAUUUAAAGAAUGAAGUAUGUGCCAGCAUGGUGGUGUACGCCUGUAAUCCCAGUGGCUCCGGAGGCUUAAACAGGAGAAUCACAAGUUCAAAGCCAGCCUCAGCAAUGGUGAGGCACUAAGCAACUAGGUGAGACCUUGUCUCUACAUAAAAUACAAAAUAGGGCUGGGGAUGUGGCUCAGUGGUCAAGUGCCCCUGAGAUCAAUCCCCAGUACCAAAAAAAAUAAUAAUAAUAAAUGAAGUAUGUUAGAGCAAGUGAAAAAGAAAUCUUGUUAUGAAUCUUUUGGUUGCAACAAGUAGAAACCAAAGGCUGGGGGUGUGGCUCCCUGGUAGAGCACUUGCCUUAACAAGUGUGAGGCAGUGGGUUCGAUUCUCAGCACCGCAUAUAAAUAAAGUCCAUUGAGAACUAAAAAAAAAGUAGAAACCAAAACUAGAUGAAGCAAAGGAAAAAAAAUAUCCUGAGAAUACUAGGGAGACAGAUGAAAUAUAAGGGAGAACAGUAUCAAUAAUAAACCUCUCUAUUUCAAACUAUUUCACAAAGAGAGCAACCUUUUUUAAAGAGACCAAAGGUUAAUUCAGCAUCUACCCCACCAAUACUUUUAUAAAUGUAAAGACAAGAAAAUAGUUUAGGAGCCCAGGCUGCUGUAGACCUCUCAAUAGAGUUGCUAAAGAGGCCACCUUGAGUUUCUGAGCAGUUGAGUUAUCGCAGUGUUCUCCAAACUCACAAACUCAGUUUAAAAUUCCUAAAUUCCAGUCAGGUGCAAUAGCACAUGCCUGUAAUCUCAGCAACUUGGGAGGCUAAAGCAGAAGGAUCGCAAAUUCAAAGCCAGCUUCAGCAACCUAGUGAGGCCCUAAAUAAUUUAGCAAGACCUGUCUCAAAAUAAAAAAGAGUUAAAGACAUAUAGCUCAGUGGUUAAGGACCCCUGCGUUCAAUCCCCAGUACCAAAAAAAGAAAAAUAGGACAGAAUCUGAAGGAUCAGGCCUGGGGCCCAGAGCAUGAUCAAUGUGGCAAGAAAAACAGGCAGGGUCUCUGAGUACCCUUAACAGGACUACAGAUUUUUGAAUAAUUUUUUUUUUCUUUUUUUGUGUUGUUUUGGGGUUCAGGGCCUUGUGCAUGUGAGGCAGGCACUCUACCAAGUGAGCUAUAUCCCUAGCCCCUUGAGUAAUUUUUUUAAAGGAGAGCAAAGGUUAACUCAGCAUCUACUCCACUAAUACUUUUAUACAUGUAGAGAUAAGAAAAGAGCAUAUGUUGAUUCCCCAGUGCAGCAAAAAAAGAAAGAAAGAAUGUUAAAGGGGAAAAAUAGGUCAGUUUCAGAACAGCAUGAAGAAUCUCCGCAGCUGAAGAAGGCUGGUUUAAAAAAAGGUAGGAAAAGACAAUGGGAUAGGUUGAAGUAUCAAUCUAUAGACACUAUCAUGAUAUCAUACAACAGACUUAGGAAUUUGUCCCUAGGCCAUUGAAGGUCUUAACCCUGGGAACAAUAUCUUAAAAUUUCAGUCUAAUAAAACCAGCAUUAAAAUAUCACUAUUUAAAGAAGAAACAGGUAUCAGUAAAGCAAGAUUGGAAAGCCAUUAGAGGUCUGGGUGUAUAGGUCUGUGGUAGAAUACCUGCCUAGGAUGUGUAAGGUCCUGGGUUAGAUCUCUAGCACCAAAAAAAAAAAAAAGCCACUUGGAUAAUUCAGUCAUGAAAAAAUAGAUUUCUAGUAAAUAUACCAAUAGGUAAGAAUACCUGGGGCUGGGUUGGGGUUGUAGCUCAGAGGUAGAGUACUUGCCUAGCAUGCGUGAGGCACUGGAUUCGUCUAUCCUCAGCAUCACAUAAAAAUAAAGUAAAGGUAUUGUGUCCACCUAUAAAUAAAUAAAAUGUUAAAGAAAAAAAUGUUAAAAGAAAAAAAGAAUUUACCUUAAUGAGUUAUUCUCACUCCAGGGGUGUACAUAGAUACAGUAUAGCUCACAAACAGUGAAUCACUUCCUGUGGUCCCACUAUUCUUACCAGAACCCAAAGAAAGAAAUAAGGGUUAAAGCUGCACAUGGUGGUGUAAUGUCUGUAGUUCCAGCUACAGGUUGAGACAGGAGGAUUAUUUAAACCCAGAAAUGGAAACUAGCCUAGGCAACAUAGUGAGACACUGUCUCAAAUAAAGGGGGGUAGAGUGUUAUAUAUGUGUGUUCAAAUGUUUGUGCAUGAGAGAUUUUACUUUUAUAAAAUGUAUAUUUAUGUAAAAAUGUUCAGUGAGGCUAGGAAAAUUGUUCAGUGGUAUAGAGAUUGCCUAGAAUGUGCAAGGCCCUGGGUUAAAUCCCUAACACCACAAAAACAAAU
This 3672-nucleotide long non-coding RNA is filed under the name Marmota monax (woodchuck). Lineage: Eukaryota; Metazoa; Chordata; Mammalia; Rodentia; Sciuridae. The record is from RNAcentral.